UCCGCACACCCACCGGUAACCGGCAGGAGCGGGGGACCCACAGGUACCACGCCUGUUCCGGUCUCCGGAACGGCUAGGGGUAUAGCCGCGCAGCCGCGUGGCCGGGCAUCUCCAGCCCGCACCCGACAGCUCACCUCGCAGGCGCCGGAGAGGAAUUCU
Molecule: small RNA, 159 nt
Filed under: Actinomycetota bacterium
Lineage: Bacteria; Bacillati; Actinomycetota
Description: Actinobacteria bacterium c-di-AMP sequence
Rfam family: c-di-AMP riboswitch aptamer (ydaO/yuaA leader)
About the family: This family represents a conserved RNA structure found upstream of the ydaO and yuaA genes in Bacillus subtilis and related genes in other bacteria. The ydaO/yuaA element is thought to act as a genetic "off" switch for the ydaO and yuaA genes in its native state.
Source: RNAcentral